Molecule: long non-coding RNA, 187 nt
Organism: Vombatus ursinus (common wombat)
Lineage: Eukaryota; Metazoa; Chordata; Mammalia; Diprotodontia; Vombatidae
Exons: 3
Source: RefSeq, a predicted model, not a curated record
GCUGCAGGUGGUGGCUACCCUGCAGAACCAGACUUCAAUGCAGCCCCUGACUCUGCGGCGUCUAGAGCACGAGAAGAAAAGGAAGGAGAUCAAGGACCAGUGGCACCGGGUGCAGAGGAAGCUGCAAGAAGCAGAGACCAACCUUCGAAAGGCAAAGCAGAGCUACAUGCAGCGCUGCGAAGACUAC